GGGAGUGUGGCUCAGUGGUAGAGCACUUGUGUAGCAUGCACGAGGCCCUGGGUUCAACCCCCAGUAUUGCAA
This 72-nucleotide transfer RNA is filed under the name Ictidomys tridecemlineatus (thirteen-lined ground squirrel). Its description in RNAcentral is "Spermophilus tridecemlineatus (thirteen-lined ground squirrel) tRNA". It matches the Rfam family "tRNA". Rfam says of the family: Transfer RNA (tRNA) molecules are approximately 80 nucleotides in length. Their secondary structure includes four short double-helical elements and three loops (D, anti-codon, and T loops). Lineage: Eukaryota; Metazoa; Chordata; Mammalia; Rodentia; Sciuridae. The record is from Rfam by way of RNAcentral.